Molecule: long non-coding RNA, 1135 nt
Organism: Dermochelys coriacea (leatherback sea turtle)
Lineage: Eukaryota; Metazoa; Chordata; Testudines; Dermochelyidae
Exons: 2
Source: RefSeq, a predicted model, not a curated record
AUGGUUAAAGGGAAAAAUACCACAACUCUGCAUGAUACACCUGCAGAAAAUUUGCACUGUGUACAUCCCUAAAUCAAAGGGCAAGAAGAAGAAGUGGUGCCAUUCUGAACACUCCUAUAUGGUCAGGCUGACAAAACGAGAGAAGAAAACAAACAAAAAGAUAGUACCUUUCAGAAAGAUCAUCUGAUUUGCUGGAAAAGAAAGUGGUGACGUCCCGCCAUCCCUUACUGCCUACCCCCUGAACCUGGAAAAAAAGAAUAAAGUUAUUUCACACUUAAUGAAUUACCUCGUACUUGGACUGAGCUCACCCAUUUGUUUUAAUAAAGACUGCUACCCAAAAUCCAUAAUGCACCACUGUCAAAACCUAAUGGCCCCCUCCCCACAGGGAGUCCCGUGGGAAGGCAGAACAGCACUGUAUAUGGCUAAUGCUGUUGCAAGCAUCACAAAUCAUUUUGGGGAGGGUCAAAGGUGUGUGAGUGGAGAGUGGACAUUUCCUUUGCAGAAUACGAGAGGCCAGGGGUGGGGAGGAAGAAGAGCAGAUAACAGGUUAACUCAACACUUCGGCUAGCUCCGUGUGAAGAUAAGAUGCUGGCCCCAGCCCAAGGUCAUGGGCUCGACAAGAAAUCAGCAGCUGCCCAGCCGUGAGAAGAGGAGAACUAAGUUGAGCAGAGCUGCAGAGAUAGCAGCGAGAACAGUGAGAGCAAAUGAGACAGCGACAGCAAAGGCCAAUAGAAGGGAAAAAAAAGUCUCUGGAGCCGGGAUGUUUUGGGAAACCGAGGAGGCCACAGCAAGCCAGUCUGGACUGGCACAAAGAGCACCAGAAGCAGAGGUCCCCGAGAGGAAUACCCCCCAAGGAGCCCAGGACUUAAAACCCUCCUGAGAGCUGCAGCAACUUGGAGAGCAACAGCAGACUUGGACGGCCUGGGCCCAGGACAGCACUCUCAUCCAUCCAUCCUUCCCCCCGCCUCUUUUUCUGAUGUUACACCCAGGUCUGGCCAGUCUUGGGUAGUGCUUGUGUGAGCAUGAAAGUGGGUUAGAGCUUGGGGCAUUAACGCUUUCUUUCUUCCCUUAAGUGACAUGCAAGCAUUCCCAGCACUCUGUUAUUAUUUCAAUCAAUAAAGCUUUAAAACUUAGA